GAUGAACGCUGGCGGCGUGCCUAAUACAUGCAAGUCGAGCGAACGGACGAGAAGCUUGCUUCUCUGAUGUUAGCGGCGGACGGGUGAGUAACACGUGGAUAACCUACCUAUAAGACUGGGAUAACUUCGGGAAACCGUAGCUAAUACCGGAUAAUAUUUUGAACCGCAUGGUUCAAAAGUGAAAGACGGUCUUGCUGUCACUUAUAGAUGGAUCCGCGCUGCAUUAGCUAGUUGGUAAGGUAACGGCUUACCAAGGCAACGAUGCAUAGCCGACCUGGGAGGGUGAUAGGCCACACUGGAACUGAGACACGGUCCAGACUCCUACGGGAGGCAGCAGUAGGGAAUCUUCCGCAAUGGGCGAAAGCCUGACGGAGCAACGCCGCGUGAGUGAUGAAGGUCUUCGGAGCGUAAAACUCUGUUAUUAGGGAAGAACAUAUGUGUAAGUAACUGUGCACAUCUUGACGGUACCUAAUCAGAAAGCCACGGCUAACUACGUG
This 497-nucleotide ribosomal RNA is filed under the name uncultured bacterium. RNAcentral's name for it is "partial 16S ribosomal RNA". It matches the Rfam family "Bacterial small subunit ribosomal RNA", at positions 28 to 507 of the family's 1533-position model. The record is from RNAcentral.